UACGUAGGUGGCAAGCGUUGUCCGGAAUUACUGGGUGUAAAGGGAGCGCAGGCGGGACAGCAAGUCAGCGGUGAAAUACAUGGGCUUAACCCAUGAACUGCCGUUGAAACUGCCGUUCUUGAGUGGAUCAGAGGCAAGCGGAAUUCCGAGUGUAGCGGUGAAAUGCGUAGAUAUUCGGAGGAACACCAGUGGCGAAGGCGGCUUGCUGGGGUCUAACUGACGCUGAGGCUCGAAAGCGUGGGGAGCAAACAGGAUUAGAUA
RNAcentral lists this ribosomal RNA (261 nucleotides) under uncultured prokaryote. RNAcentral describes it as "partial 16S ribosomal RNA". It matches the Rfam family "Bacterial small subunit ribosomal RNA", at positions 524 to 784 of the family's 1533-position model. The record is from RNAcentral.